GAUGAACGCUGGCGGCGUGCCUAAUACAUGCAAGUCGAGCGAACAGACGAGGAGCUUGCUCCUCUGACGUUAGCGGCGGACGGGUGAGUAACACGUGGAUAACCUACCUAUAAGACUGGGAUAACUUCGGGAAACCGGCGCUAACACCGGAUAAUAUAUUGAACCGCAUGGUUCAAUAGUGAAAGACGGUUUUGCUGUCACUUCUAGAUGGAUCCGCGCCGCAUUAGCUAGUUGGUAAGGUAACGGCUUACCAAGGCAACGAUGCGUAGCCGACCUGAGAGGGUGAUCGGCCACACUGGAACUGAGACACGGUCCAGACUCCUACGGGAGGCAGCAGUAGGGAAUCUUCCGCAAUGGGCGAAAGCCUGACGGAGCAACGCCGCGUGAGUGAUGAAGGUCUUCGGAUCGUAAAACUCUGUUAUUAGGGAAGAACAAAUGUGUAAGUAACUAUGCACGUCUUGACGGUACCUAAUCAGAAAGCCACGGCUAACUACGUG
RNAcentral lists this ribosomal RNA (497 nucleotides) under uncultured bacterium. RNAcentral describes it as "partial 16S ribosomal RNA". It matches the Rfam family "Bacterial small subunit ribosomal RNA", at positions 28 to 507 of the family's 1533-position model. The record is from RNAcentral.